Molecule: ribosomal RNA, 468 nt
Filed under: uncultured bacterium
Lineage: Bacteria
Description: partial 16S ribosomal RNA
Rfam family: Bacterial small subunit ribosomal RNA
Source: RNAcentral
GAUGAACGCUGGCGGCGUGCUUAACACAUGCAAGUCGAACGGAAAGGCCCAAGCUUGCUUGGGUACUCGAGUGGCGAACGGGUGAGUAACACGUGGGUGAUCUGCCCUGCACUUUGGGAUAAGCCUGGGAAACUGGGUCUAAUACUGGAUAGGACCACUCCUUGGAUGGUGUGGUGGAAAGUUUUUUCGGUGUGGGAUGAGCUCGCGGCCUAUCAGCUUGUUGGUGGGGUAAUGGCCUACCAAGGCGUCGACGGGUAGCCGGCCUGAGAGGGUGUACGGCCACAUUGGGACUGAGAUACGGCCCAGACUCCUACGGGGGGCAGCAGUGGGGAAUAUUGCACAAUGGGGGCAAGCCUGAUGCAGCGGCGCCGCGUGGGGGAUGACGGCCUUCGGGUUGUAAGCUCCUUUCGCUAGGGACGAAGCGUUUUUGUGGCGGUACCUGGAGAAGAAGCACCGGCUAACUACGUG